GAUGAACGCUGGCGGCGUGCCUAAUACAUGCAAGUCGAGCGAACAGACGAGGAGCUUGCUCCUUUGACGUUAGCGGCGGACGGGUGAGUAACACGUAGGUAACCUACCUAUAAGACUGGGAUAACUUCGGGAAACCGGCGCUAAUACCGGAUAAUAUUUCGAACCGCAUGGUUCGAUAGUGAAAGAUGGCUUUGCUAUCACUUAUAGAUGGACCUGCGCCGUAUUAGCUAGUUGGUAAGGUAACGGCUUACCAAGGCAACGAUACGUAGCCGACCUGAGAGGGUGAUCGGCCACACUGGAACUGAGACACGGUCCAGAGUCCUACGGGAGGCAGCAGUAGGGAAUCCUCCGCAAUGGGCGAAAGCCUGACGGAACAACGCCGCGUGGGAGAUGAAGGUCUUCGGAUCGUAAAACGCUGUUAUUAGGGAAGAACAAACGUGUAAGUAACUGUGCACGUCUUGACGGUACCUAAUCAGAAAGCCACGGCUAACUACGUG
This 497-nucleotide ribosomal RNA is filed under the name uncultured bacterium. Its description in RNAcentral is "partial 16S ribosomal RNA". It matches the Rfam family "Bacterial small subunit ribosomal RNA", at positions 28 to 507 of the family's 1533-position model. The record is from RNAcentral.